CUCGCCUACACGAAGCUGGAAUCGCUAGUAAUCGCGGAUCAGCACGCCGCGGUGAAUACGUUCCCGGGCCUUGUACACACCGCCCGUCACACCAUGAGAGUCUGUAACACCCAAAGCCGGUGGGAUAACCUUUAUAGGAGUCAGCCGUCUAAGGUAGGACAGAUGAUUAGGGUGAAGUCGUAACAAGGUACC
This 192-nucleotide ribosomal RNA is filed under the name uncultured bacterium. Its description in RNAcentral is "partial 16S ribosomal RNA". It matches the Rfam family "Bacterial small subunit ribosomal RNA", at positions 1311 to 1500 of the family's 1533-position model. The record is from RNAcentral.